CGGUGGCCCACAGGGACAACACGCAAGCACAAUUACAAAUAUGAUUACAAACAUACAAAAUUCGUAUACAAACAUAUAAAAUUCGAGACAAAGCAAAUAACUUUCAAGACAAACACAUGCAAACUGCAACUUCAUUUGAACACAACACAUGUUCACAAGUAAACAAGUACAAUAAUCGAAGCAAAUUACAAGAUUUCGAAACGGAAAUAGGUGGCAGCACUGUACCUUUUGUUUUCACGCGACGCCAACAACCCGCUCUUGUAUCUUGUAUCCUUUCCUCCCUCUCUUGUAUUUCACAAGCACUCGAUUUAUAUUUGAAGUACACCGAUGCAAGUGAGUACAAUUUGACAUAUGAGAGUUCGAGUGAUGGUGAAGUCGACAAUCCAGAGCUGCCAGACUUAUCAUUUCAUGCACGUAGGUUUCAUUCGGAAUGCCUUGAAUGAGAGUCGAUGAAAUAUUUUUUGAUUGAAUUAAGUGUUGCUGUUAUAUGAUAGGCAUUAUGUGGUUUUCAUAUGUUCAUGCAGAGUAUAACCCUUCUUAGUCUGAAGAGUAUGCAGUACUGCCAAGUGUGAUGAGGUUCUGAUUCCUAAAUAAAGAAGUUGGACAGCAUUUGUUAAUAAAUUCAUCAUUCAUUAAAAAUAAAUGAAGGAAACAACCUAAUACUGCCAUUACUAUUGAACCAUUUUGAAAUGUUAUUUACACGUAACAAAUAGCUUCGGUAUGUGAUUGCUUGCAUAAAGACAUGACGUAACCUUUCUCUGUCAAUCGAAAAAAGCGUGUGUGCCUAGGUCCCUGAUUAUCUGUGUAAUUUAUUUUAUUACAUUAACACUGUGGAUCUGAGAUGGUCGCAAACUUUGAUUUGUAGAGGUGUAUAAACAGUUUCAAUAUCUUUUCACAAAUCCAGCGAAAGUGUCACAAGUAUGAGCCCUACAGCGGGGAAGACCCUGACGAUCUGCUAUUGCUAGAACCACAGCCCGCACAAGGUUGACCAUGCGCCUCUGACUGAAGAAGGAGUUAGUGGUGUGACAGGAGAACAAGUUGACGGGCUUCAGUAUUUGAUAGAGAAUGACUGCCUUUGUGUGGCAACAGUUCAGGGCAACAUCAUCCUCUACCACAAAAAAGUGUGUCAUCCAUAUUCACACAAUAUUAUAUAUUAUAUUCAUUAUAUAUCAUAUAUAUAUAUAUAUAUUAUAUAUCAUAUUCACACAUAUAUCGUGAACAUUUGACAUGUGUACACUAGUAUACAAUGUUUGUGUUUUACAUUAUAACCUACUGCAUUUAUGUUUAUGUUCUGCUACAGUUCUGUUCCUACACGUUUAUAUGUAUCUCUGGCAAGAGUUGUGGAUUUUCGAAUUGAUUAAAUUGAGGAAAGAUCAAUGUGUAUUUCAAGUAUGUUGUAUGUGUUAUUUUAGGUGGAGGUCGUUGGAAGUAUUAACACUGCAAUCAGAGCAAUAACACACAAUGUGUGUGUGUGUGUGUACAGCAUAUAUUUAUAUUUUGUCAUAUACAAUUUGUUAUCUAUAGCUAUGUGUUAUUAUCUAUAACUGAUAUGUCUUAAUCUCAACAGUAAAUAUAUUCAUGCUAUUAAAUUGUAUUGUGUUGAAAUGUAUUGAAUUGAUUUGUAUUUGGUUUUGUAUUGAAUAAAUUGUGAUGUUAUUCAUUAUUAA
This 1667-nucleotide long non-coding RNA is filed under the name Priapulus caudatus. RNAcentral's name for it is "uncharacterized LOC106817341". The record is from RNAcentral. Lineage: Eukaryota; Metazoa; Priapulida; Priapulimorpha; Priapulimorphida; Priapulidae.